GGAUGUGAGGGUGAUCUGGCUGUGACAUCUGUCACCCUGUUGAUUGCCAGGGUUGAUUAGGCUGAUCUGGCUGGCUAGACAGGUGUCCCUUCCUCUCUCAUUGCUCUGUGUGCAUCCUCCUGAGGCUGCAUACUUGGUCCAAGUGGAGGACUUUCCUAGACAGAAGGGGAUCAUUCUUGGGUCGAGGGUAUAAAAGUAGGUGUGUUCCUCUGCUAGAAUCUUCAAGCAAGCUCUCAAGGUCCAUUUAUAGGAGAACGUAGGGUAGUCAAGCUUCCAAGACUCCAGACACAUCCAAAUGAGGCACUGCAUGUGGCAGUCUGCCCUUCUUU
Molecule: small nuclear RNA, 329 nt
Filed under: Canis lupus dingo (dingo)
Lineage: Eukaryota; Metazoa; Chordata; Mammalia; Carnivora; Canidae
Description: 7SK RNA (ENSCAFG00020010310.1)
Rfam family: 7SK RNA
About the family: 7SK was discovered as an abundant small nuclear RNA in the mid-70s but a possible function has only recently been suggested. Two independent studies have found that 7SK RNA binds the CDK9/cyclin T complex (known as elongation factor P-TEFb).
Source: Rfam by way of RNAcentral